RNAcentral lists this ribosomal RNA (403 nucleotides) under bacterium. RNAcentral describes it as "partial 16S ribosomal RNA". It matches the Rfam family "Bacterial small subunit ribosomal RNA", at positions 355 to 776 of the family's 1533-position model. The record is from RNAcentral.
UGGGGAAUCUUGCACAAUGGGGGAAACCCUGAUGCAGCGACGCCGCGUGAGCGAUGAAGGUUUUCGAAUCGUAAAGCUCUGUCCUAUGGGAAGAUAAUGACGGUACCAUAGGAGGAAGCCCCGGCUAACUACGUGCCAGCAGCCGCGGUAAUACGUAGGGGGCGAGCGUUGUCCGGAAUUACUGGGCGUAAAGGGUUCGCAGGCGGCAUGACAAGUCCGAAGUAAAAGGCGAAAGCUCAACUUUCGUAAGCAUCGGAAACUGUCAAGCUUGAGUAAGGUAGAGGCAAGUGGAAUUCCUAGUGUAGCGGUGGAAUGCGUAGAUAUUAGGAGGAAUACCGGUGGCGAAGGCGACUUGCUGGACUACAACUGACGCUGAGGAACGAAAGCGUGUGUAGCAAACAGG